RNAcentral lists this ribosomal RNA (469 nucleotides) under uncultured bacterium. RNAcentral describes it as "partial 16S ribosomal RNA". It matches the Rfam family "Bacterial small subunit ribosomal RNA", at positions 28 to 507 of the family's 1533-position model. The record is from RNAcentral.
GACGAACGCUGGCGGCGUGCUUAACACAUGCAAGUCGAACGGAAAGGCCCUGCUUGCAGGGUGCUCGAGUGGCGAACGGGUGAGUAACACGUGGGUGAUCUGCCCCUUACUUUGGGAUAAGCCUGGGAAACUGGGUCUAAUACUGGAUAGGACCAUGCUGUAGGUGGUGUGGUGGAAAGAUUAGUUUCGGUAAGGGAUGAGCUCGCGGCCUAUCAGCUUGUUGGUGGGGUAAUGGCCUACCAAGGCGUCGACGGGUAGCCGGCCUGAGAGGGUGGACGGCCACAUUGGGACUGAGAUACGGCCCAGACUCCUACGGGAGGCAGCAGUGGGGAAUAUUGCACAAUGGGCGCAAGGCUGAUGCAGCGACGCCGCGUGGGGGAUGACGGCCUUCGGGUUGUAAACUCCUUGCAGCCAUGACGAAGCCCUUGUGGUGACGGUAGUGGUAGAAGAAGCACCGGCUAACUACGUG